GUGAGAUACUUCCAAUUAAAGGUUUUUGAACAUCUCAAAAGCAGUCCUGCCUUAGAAUUCCAUUGCUGUUUUCAAAAGCUGAUUGGAGGAAACCUGAGGGCCCAGAUACUUGCUUGUCAAGCUAAAUAAGCUGAAAAUCCUCUCCUGCACAAGUGUGGUUAAAGAAUCUCUUAAGAAGGUGAGGAACAUCCUGGGAGGAAUAUGGUGGCCAGCUUUGGCUGUGUCUCUGAAAGUCUGCCUUUCACCC
Molecule: non-coding RNA, 247 nt
Organism: Lonchura striata (white-rumped munia)
Lineage: Eukaryota; Metazoa; Chordata; Aves; Passeriformes; Estrildidae
Source: RefSeq, a predicted model, not a curated record